This 589-nucleotide ribosomal RNA is filed under the name Providencia rettgeri. RNAcentral's name for it is "partial 23S ribosomal RNA". It matches the Rfam family "Bacterial large subunit ribosomal RNA", at positions 2270 to 2853 of the family's 2925-position model. The record is from RNAcentral. Lineage: Bacteria; Pseudomonadati; Pseudomonadota; Gammaproteobacteria; Enterobacterales; Morganellaceae.
UUGACUGGGGCGGUCUCCUCCCAAAGAGUAACGGAGGAGCACGAAGGUUGGCUAAGCAUGGUCGGACAUCAUGCGGUUAGUGCAAAGGCAUAAGCCAGCUUGACUGCGAGAGUGACGGCUCGAGCAGGUACGAAAGUAGGUCUUAGUGAUCCGGUGGUUCUGAAUGGAAGGGCCAUCGCUCAACGGAUAAAAGGUACUCCGGGGAUAACAGGCUGAUACCGCCCAAGAGUUCAUAUCGACGGCGGUGUUUGGCACCUCGAUGUCGGCUCAUCACAUCCUGGGGCUGAAGUAGGUCCCAAGGGUACGGCUGUUCGCCGUUUAAAGUGGUACGCGAGCUGGGUUUAGAACGUCGUGAGACAGUUCGGUCCCUAUCUGCCGUGGGCGUUGGAAGAUUGAAAGGGGCUGCUCCUAGUACGAGAGGACCGGAGUGGACGCACCACUGGUGUUCGGGUUGUCAUGCCAAUGGCAUUGCCCGGUAGCUAAGUGCGGAAGAGAUAACCGCUGAAAGCAUCUAAGCGGGAAACUUGCCUUGAGAUGAGUCUUCCCUGACCCUUUAAGGGUCCUAAAGGAACGUUUAAGACUAAGACGU